GGCGCUGUAGCUCAGUUGGCUAGAGCAUUCGGUUCAUACCCGACAGGUCACUGGUUCGAGUCCAGUUAGCGCCACCA
Molecule: transfer RNA, 77 nt
Filed under: Synergistes jonesii
Lineage: Bacteria; Thermotogati; Synergistota; Synergistia; Synergistales; Synergistaceae
Also listed under: 1 other name
Description: tRNA-Met
Rfam family: tRNA
About the family: Transfer RNA (tRNA) molecules are approximately 80 nucleotides in length. Their secondary structure includes four short double-helical elements and three loops (D, anti-codon, and T loops).
Source: RNAcentral